Molecule: long non-coding RNA, 3168 nt
Organism: Hordeum vulgare subsp. vulgare (domesticated barley)
Lineage: Eukaryota; Viridiplantae; Streptophyta; Magnoliopsida; Poales; Poaceae
Exons: 4
Source: RefSeq, a predicted model, not a curated record
GCUUGGGAAGGGCUCGGCAGCAGUUCCAGGACCAGCUACAUGGGCAUGUCCGGAGGGGAUGGAUCCAAGUUCAAGUUAUUUGCUCAAAAUGAAAUUGUUUGGCAAUCGAAAGAAAGCUCGAAAGGACAUAAGAUGUUUUUCUUUUGAGAAGGUCAUCGAUUAUGACUUGACAAAUUAUAAGGAUUUGGUUGAAUCAAUUGUAGAGCAGUAUCUGCCGGGUUAUUUGGAAGUUGCACAUGUGCAGUAUUAUGAUGAUAUUCCUAAAACUUGUCCAGAAGUAAAAUCUGACCAAGAUUUGAUGCUUAUGUUUGAAAAACACAACGAGACAAAGGUGCUGCACAUGAUUAUUGCAUAUUGUGAGCCCUGUGAAACAUAUGAGCCUAUCACCGAGUGGCAAAGUGAUGUGCAACAGCACAGUACUAUAGAAGAUGAUGAUGAUAAUUACCUUUGCAACCCAAGACCUGAGAAUGAGCAUGUUGGCGUUGAUGAGGAGAAUAUGUAUGAAGUGGAUGAACCUAUCUCCUUAGAUGUGGUUCUUUGUCCUAAUAAAGAAAGGGACAAAGACAAUAUUUUUGAGGAUGAUAGCGAGGUUGAGAGUGAAGUAGAGGAUGAUGAAGUAGAGGAUGAUGAGGAGUUGCAUGAGGCAGAGCAUCCUCCACAUGUAGAGUAUGACAAAUUAAACCUCCAAUGACAAAGGGCUUUAUAUAUCCCAACAUGAAAGAGUUCAAAUUGGCAGUUUCUCAGCAUGCAAUCAAACGUGAAUUUGAGUAUAACACCGAGUAUAGUACACGUCAUCGGUUUAGGGGCUAUUGUUCAAGACGGGAUGCUGAUAAUUGUCCAUGGAGGAUACAUGCUUCUACGAUGGAGGAUAAGUGUAGUGUAGUGUAAUGAUCAUUUCUUGCAUAUAUGUAUUUCCUUGUAGCUAAUUACCUCUAUCUCUCUUUUGAAUGAGAAGAAAAACCCAUGUGAAUAUGAUUGCUCUAGUACAAGAAGAAAAAAUAAGAUGAAGAAUCUAACCAAGUUUUGGAUAUGUGAUAAGGUGAAGGAUUGGUUGAUUGAAGAUGGAACUCUCGGAGCGAAGGCAUUGGUGAAGAAGAUUAAAGAACACCACAAGGUUGACAUCCACUACAAAAGGGUUUAUAUGGGUAAGAUGCUAGCUCUGAAAGAACUCUAUGGUGAUUGGGAUAGCAGCUUCAACAAUUUGUAUAGGUUUAAAUGACAAGUUGAAAUAUCUUGCCCUGGUAGCAUAGUGCAGAUUGAUCAUUACACUAUAAAAGAAAAAAUCAGAUUUAUAAGGUUCUUCUUUGCUUUGAAACCUUGCAUAGAUGGAUUCCUUGCUAGUUGUAGACCAUAUUUGGCAGUAGAUAGCACAUUCUUAAUAGGAAGGUUCAAGGGGAAGCUGGCUAGUGCUACCGAUGUAGAUGGCCAUAAUUGGACGUAUCCACUUUGUGUUGGAAUUUUUGAUUCUGAAACAAAUGAGAACUGGAUCUGGUUCAUGCAGUUGCUUAGGCAAGCCAUAGGAUCACCAAUGGGUUUAGCCAUAAGCACUGAUUCCGGGAAGGCGGUGAUGACAGGGGUAAAGGAAGUAUUCCUAGAGGUAGAACAUAGGGAAUGCAUGUUUCACUUGGUGUCAAACUUUAAGAAAAAGUAUCACGGAAAAGUAUUUGACGACCACCUUUGGGAUGCUGCCUACUCAUCGAACAAAUAUAUAUUUGAGAAAAAUUGGGUUGCAAUGGAGACCGCAAAGCCAGCGGCAACUGCAUAUCUUAGGAAGUUGCACACUAGGUUGUGGACUAGGAGACAGUUCUCAACCAUUUGUAAGGUGGACUAUGUAACCAACAAUCUUGCAGAGUGCUUGAAUAAUUGGAUUAAGCACCACAAGUCUUUGAACUUGCAUGACUUAAUGGACAAGCUUAGGCAGAUGAUUAUGAUCAUGUGGAAUCGAAGGAGAAAAGUAGCAAAGAAACUAGAUGUCUUAUUGAUUUUGCCCCCACAUAAUUAAGAAGUUGAAUGCAAAGAGUAGAGAGUUAAACUUGGAGGUGGUAGAAAGAUCAGAAGAAGUUGCUGAAGUUACUCAAUUGGGAGGCAGCGGAUUUAGGUUUGUCGUUAACUCGCAUGACAACACAUGUUCUUGUAGACAAUGGCAAGUUUCUAGUCUUCCUUGCAGACAUGCUCUAGCAUUCAUCACAUCACUUGCCAAUGCACAUAUACAAAAGUUUGUGGACUCGUAUUACUCCGUUGACAAGUUUAGAGCAGCUUAUGGCCAACUAAUCCCCGCCAUGUGUGACAAGACCUAGUGGCCUGAAUCUAACCAUGGAUUCUUCAUGCAUCCACCCUUGCUAAAAGCCGUAGCUGGUCGGCCCAAAACAGAGAGGCAUAAGGGUUGUGGUGAGAAAAAGAGGAAAAGUGGCCAGCACUUAUGCCCUAUUUGUAAGGAAUACGGGCACCAUUGGAACAAGUGCAAGAAGGGGAACAGAGAUGACAUUGCUGCUUUGACGGAUGUGGGGUAAUGAACUAUGCAUUCUAUUUUCUUAUUGCAUAGUAACUACUUUCUUGCAUUACUAUUUUGUAUUCAACUAUGCAUAUGAACUACUUUCUUAUUGCUCGUGUUGAGUAACAAUGAAGAGGGGGAAGAUUACCAAAUCAGCCGAGUCAUCCAUUGUGCCAAGAGGUGAUGAAGCACCCACAACCAUGUAUUUUCCACCAAGCCAAAGCUUAGAAAUUACAACCAAGAAGUAGGGAAAACAUAGCCAAACCUUGGAGACUACAAAUAAGAAAAAUGGAAAAAGGUGUAAAAGAUCAACGAAGGGGAAAAGAUGGAGCUUGCUAAAAAGGAUAAAAUUUGUGCUAUGGUGCCAUUUGACAGCCCUGCAAUGGGCACUAGAAGCAAAAAGACUAGCCCAACCAGCCCCACAAUGAGCAAAACAAGCAAAAGAAGGCUUAGCUUGUGAACAUGUCAUAUUGUGUGAACUCAUGUGUGUGAAUCUUUGGUCACUUGGACUAUGUAUGUGAACCAGGAUAUGAUGACAAUCCUUCUGUGUUGCUCAUAUGAUGUGAACUUGAAUGUUGGACCUAUAUAUAUGAACCUGGAAAUGGUGUACGUGAUAUAUGCGUAUUUGGAUGUGAGCCUGGAUGUUUAUGUGCAAAUCUGAAUAUUAUUUGUUGAAA